GCCAAUAGUUAUUGUGACUACAGAGCCUGAGGUCAUAAUUGCUAUGUUGUUUAAGAGUACUUCCUUAUGAGGAAAGAUAAGGGAGUGAUGUCAGCAGAAAAACAGAGUAGGAAGCCCUAGACCCACCUUCCCUACACGAACACACAAUUGGGCAAGGUCCAUAUUAGAUUGAGAUUUAGUGUCUGGAUCUGAACUGGAAAACAGAAAGGAGAGCUAGGAAAUUACUAGAAAAACACGUGCCACCAAGCAUGAGAAAAACUAACACAGAAGCAAAAGGGCAAGAAUUCCCGUGACAAAUGCUAUUUAACUGCUAAAAAAGGAGCCCCUUUAGGCUGGAAGAAGAGGUCAGAGAGUUCCAGGAAGGUGUCUCUAGAAAACAGUGAUGAAGGAUCAGGGGGAAAAGGAUACAGAAGCCAAUGGAAUCAAAUACAAUAGGGAAGAUAUUAUACUGAAGACUAAAAAUGCCCAUAUGGAUUUGUUAACAUGAAAGUUCAUUGUUGACCUUGACAGGAGCAGUUUCAGUGGAGGUACAAAGGGGCUUCUGUCGGACACCAGAAAAGUUAGUGGGUCUCUGCAGAGGACAACGAACAACUGACCUUGGACGUGAUUGAUGAGGACUCCUGCCUCAAACCCGUAAGGCCAUCACCUGGCCAGACAUGAACCAAAUACUCCAAGACAAGGAAUAGACCAGCAGUCAUUACCUGCCCUCUGAGGACAACUUUUAAGCCACAUAGCCCAGCCUGCAGGACCCAGAGGGUAGAGGAAAUGUCUUCCUCCUCUACAGUUUGGCAACUCUGUGGAACAAAACUUCAUCUACUGGACACUGAUCACUCCUGGACUUCUACAGCCAAGAGAUCCUGGACCCUUGACAAGAGCCUGUAGGAGGCAGUGGGUUUUACCUACACUACACAUCUCUGACUGGGAGCAAUCGAGAGGAAAGUGGUAUUACAGAAAGCGGUGUAGCAGGACUCAUCUUGACAAGGAGAUUCGUCGAACUGAAAUUGGUGCUGUUUGUAGACCUUGAAUGAUUAGCUAUCUCUGUACUAAUAUUCAGGGAUUCAAGCGAAGAAG
Molecule: long non-coding RNA, 1071 nt
Filed under: Equus caballus (horse)
Lineage: Eukaryota; Metazoa; Chordata; Mammalia; Perissodactyla; Equidae
Description: lncRNA (ENSECAG00000057734.1)
Source: RNAcentral